Molecule: ribosomal RNA, 377 nt
Filed under: Rhodeus sericeus (Amur bitterling)
Lineage: Eukaryota; Metazoa; Chordata; Actinopteri; Cypriniformes; Acheilognathidae
Description: partial 12S ribosomal RNA
Rfam family: Bacterial small subunit ribosomal RNA
Source: RNAcentral
GCUCAGCCAUCAUCCCAGACAUUUUUAUACAACACAUGUUCCGCCAGGGUACUACGAGCAUUAGCUUAAAACCCAAAGGACCUGACGGUGCCUCAGACCCCCCUAGAGGAGCCUGUUCUAGAACCGAUAACCCCCGUUAAACCUCACCACUUCUGGUCAUCCCAGCCUAUAUACCGCCGUCGCCAGCUUACCCUGUGAAGGUAAUAAAAGUAAGCAAAAUGGGCACAACCCAGAACGUCAGGUCGAGGUGUAGCGCACGAAGUGGGAAGAAAUGGGCUACAUUUUCUUAUGCAGAACACUACGGAUGCGCAACAUGAAAUAGUGCUUGAAGGAGGAUUUAGUAGUAAAAAGGAAAAAGAGUGUCCUUUUGAACCCGG